RNAcentral lists this ribosomal RNA (631 nucleotides) under uncultured Lachnospiraceae bacterium. RNAcentral's name for it is "bacterial SSU rRNA". It matches the Rfam family "Bacterial small subunit ribosomal RNA", at positions 117 to 766 of the family's 1533-position model. The record is from RNAcentral. Lineage: Bacteria; Bacillati; Bacillota; Clostridia; Lachnospirales; Lachnospiraceae.
GUGGGUAACCUGCCUUAUACAGGGGGAUAACAGUCAGAAAUGGCUGCUAAUACCGCAUAAGCGCACAGAGCUGCAUGGCUCAGUGUGAAAAACUCCGGUGGUAUAAGAUGGACCCGCGUUGGAUUAGCUGGUUGGUGGGGUAACGGCCCACCAAGGCGACGAUCCAUAGCCGGCCUGAGAGGGUGAACGGCCACAUUGGGACUGAGACACGGCCCAGACUCCUACGGGAGGCAGCAGUGGGGAAUAUUGCACAAUGGGGGAAACCCUGAUGCAGCGACGCCGCGUGAAGGAAGAAGUAUCUCGGUAUGUAAACUUCUAUCAGCAGGGAAGAUAGUGACGGUACCUGACUAAGAAGCCCCGGCUAACUACGUGCCAGCAGCCGCGGUAAUACGUAGGGGGCAAGCGUUAUCCGGAUUUACUGGGUGUAAAGGGAGCGUAGACGGUGUGGCAAGUCUGAUGUGAAAGGCAUGGGCUCAACCUGUGGACUGCAUUGGAAACUGUCAUACUUGAGUGCCGGAGGGGUAAGCGGAAUUCCUAGUGUAGCGGUGAAAUGCGUAGAUAUUAGGAGGACACCAGUGGCGAAGGCGGCUUACUGGACGNGUAACUGACGUUGAGGCUCGAAAGCGUGGNG